CUGUAAAUCCUGCUCGGUUCUGUGGACGGGUGUGGAGGAGAAGACAGGAGCCACUAGACCCACUGGCAAGGUUCUCAUACUACGAAAUCUCCCGGUGAAAAAAGUUGCUCCAAAAGUAACGGAAUCAACGCGAUACACUUAAAUAUGGGCGUGGAAUCCAUUCUCUUUACUCAUCCCCAGUUUUGAAUUACGCAACCUAACCUGACGUCUAACUCCUUUCAUCUGGCUGGACGAAGACACUGAGGCGGAAGCUUAUCAAGGUUAUCUGCUUUGGCGAAAUAGUGAGUCAAGCUGCAAGAAACAACCCACUGAACUUGGACUGCACUCCUCGAUGUACAGAAGGACACGCAUGGACAGGAGUUCAUUGCCCGAGAAACGAUGGUCG
Suricata suricatta (meerkat) is the source of this 385-nucleotide long non-coding RNA. RefSeq lists it as uncharacterized. Lineage: Eukaryota; Metazoa; Chordata; Mammalia; Carnivora; Herpestidae. The record is from RefSeq and is a predicted model, not a curated record. The transcript has 4 exons.